This is a small nuclear RNA of Trichomycterus rosablanca, 164 nucleotides long. RefSeq annotates it as U1 spliceosomal RNA. NCBI's taxonomy places the organism in Eukaryota, Metazoa, Chordata, Actinopteri, Siluriformes, Trichomycteridae. The transcript has a single exon. The record is from RefSeq and is a predicted model, not a curated record.
AUACUUACCUGGCAGGGGCGAGACCUUAAUGAAGUAGGUGGUUCACACAAGGCGAGGCUUAGCCAUUGCACUACAGUUGUGCUGACCCCUGCGAAUUCCCCAAAUGUGAGAAUCUCGACUGCAUAAUUUCUGAUAGUGGGGGACUGUGUACGCGCUCUCCCCUG